CCUACGGGAGGCUGCAGUGAGGAAUAUUGGUCAAUGGACGAGAGUCUGAACCAGCCACGUAGCGUGAAGGAUGACUGCCCUAUGGGUUGUAAACUUCUUUUAUAUGGGAAUAAAAUGUUCCACGUGUGGGAUUUUGUAUGUACCAUAUGAAUAAGGAUCGGCUAACUCCGUGCCAGCAGCCGCGGUAAUACGGAGGAUCCGAGCGUUAUCCGGAUUUAUUGGGUUUAAAGGGAGCGUAGGUGGAUUGUUAAGUCAGUUGUGAAAGUUUGCGGCUCAACCGUAAAAUUGCAGUUGAAACUGGCAGUCUUGAGUACAGUAGAGGUGGGCGGAAUUCGUGGUGUAGUGGUGAAAUGCUUAGAUAUCACGAAGAACUCCGAUGGCGAAGGCAGCUCACUGGACUGCAACUGACACUGAGGCUCGAAAGUGUGGGGAUCAAACAGGAUUAGAUACCCCGGUAGUC
Molecule: ribosomal RNA, 460 nt
Filed under: uncultured bacterium
Lineage: Bacteria
Description: partial 16S ribosomal RNA
Rfam family: Bacterial small subunit ribosomal RNA
Source: RNAcentral